GGGAGGCUCAUGUUCACCACGGUGACGGUGGUGUUGUCGGGACCGAUAAAGGUCUCGUGGAAGUAGACGCGGAAGUGGAUUCUCUUCUGGAUGCCGAGUUCGAACUCGGAGGUGACCGGGAAGGCCGUGGCAGCAGCCUGGAGGAGGAAGAAGACGAGGAGGAAGUAGAGAUGAGUGGAGCUGUGUGGGGAUGAAGCCAUGGCUAGGAUGACACAAGGAUCGAAGUGAGGUGGGUACAACGCUGGAUCAGGAACAUGUGUUUAUAGAGUAAUGUCUGCGCCAUGCGUCGUUGACAAAUACCAACUUUCAUAAACAUGUAAACACCAUGCCACACGGAGAUGGAAGAUGGAAGAUGGAAGUAAUAUAGAUAAUCUUGAGCAAUGAAGAUGGAUAACUGAGAGAUCGAUGAUAGUUGCAAGCAGUGGCCAAUGAGGAUAGUGUUGCGUCUUCUGCUAGUGUCAACUGGCCACAUGUAACUCAUGAAUUUGUCUUUUUCUUAACCAACCACAUCGUUCGAUGAUAGUUGCAAACGUUGACAUAAUGCAUGUCAACGUUUCCAUGUGAAUAACACCCACAUAAUCCUUCACCUAUCAAAGGUGUGAUCGGUUGACAAAGUUCAUCAUUAUUAUGUAAGGUACAUUUAUAUUAGAGGAUCGUCAAAUGCCAGUGCAUGUCAUGGUACUUUUCAAUGUGCAUAAUUGACACAAACUGUGUGGAAUCUCUCCCUCUUACUUGCCCCUUCACACAAUGCAUUUCUUUAUCAACAUAUGUUUGCUUCACCUGAGUCAACUGUUCAUGUGAUCCACACUAAAGCCUCCGUCGGUUCAGCAAAAUCGGCUAAUUGUCGUUACUUAAUGUUGAAAAUUGAUAACAAGUCUUUGUAAGACUAUCAAUUAAGAAUUUUGCACAUUUAGUCUCAAGUUGAUUAGAGAUUUAAAGAGUCAAUAGCUAAUGAAGAAUCAAAUAUCUUGAAAGGCAAAGAACCGGUCCUACUUAACAAUUUAUUAACAUUAAAAGAGCUCAAGAUUAAUGUUUUUUUUUAUUGAGGUAAAUAAUUUGUGAAAAAUAAGAGUAUUAUUUUAGACAAAAUAAGUAGUAAAAAAGAGGAUCAAAUUGAUUAACGAAACGUGGCAUGUCCACGAAUCUUAAAGCAUCAGAUUGCAUCAGUAACUAGCGACCACCAAAGCAGUCUCCACGGUGAGAAGGGGGAAAUGACGAUGUGAAGAAUCGCAGAGGCGGCUCUCCUCUUUGUCCUCCUCGGUGGCAACGAGCGCGAUUUGGUGAUCAAGGUCCGAUCACUUACGAUCCCUUCUCGUCCAAUUUUCCCAAUCUUGGUUAGAGUUUUAAUUUGAUGGAGUGCUUGACGCCGUCUUGUAGUUUUGAUGUCAAUUUCUUGGUGCGAUCUACUGUUCGAUCAGAAUCUUUGAUGGGUCCUAGCCGAUGAUCAUGCAACCUAGUUGCUCUAUGAUCAACGAAAACGAAACCUAAUAUUAUAGUUUCUUUUUCCUCUCAGUUUAGAUUCACUUCUUCCCCUUGAUCACGCAAGUAGUCGAAGCUUAACUGCAGGAAUUGUUCGAGUUUUUUUCACGUAUUUGAGCUUUUUGUGUCGUAACCUACUACGUUUUCUUGAUUUUAGACUGAACUAGGCUUUGCACUUGGUUGCUAUAUAUGCAUUCAAGAUAAUACUCUUGCCAUCAAAUCAUUGAAUUAUGUGGGGAUUAUUCAUCGAACAGAUUCCCUUUAAGUCGCAUAGUCUUUUGUUCCUUUCCCUGGUUCUGUUGCUUGUUGCAUAUCUUAAGUACAUUACUGUUUCCUAUGUCUGCAUCUCAUGUAUUUCACGUUAUCCAAGCAAGAAAUUUGUCAGAUGUGCAUGAUGUUCAACCAAUUGAUCUAAUAAACGCCAACUUUAUCUACACAUCAAUUGAAAGAAAAGAACAUCUUAUCAUUAUUCCAGUUUCACAGCUAGAAAGUAGUGAUGCAUCUGAAACUGUAGCUGUAUGUGAAAAUUUCGGCAAGUCAGGUAAAAGAAGUAAGUAUUAAGAAGGAAAUGUAUUGGUACCCCUUCCAAUAAGGAGAUAAUAGUUAAACAAGUUGCUAUCGAUUAAACUUAUGGGUCAUAUAAUUUAGACCUUUUUAGGUCUCGUCUACAUUGUUAGUUGUUAUCAAGGAAGUAACUAGCAAUUUAUUGUGAUUCAUGAAUUCCUUUGCAUAGGAUGGAUUUAAUAAUGUUGCAUGAGUAAGGCUUUCUGCAUUAUGGCAUGGCUCAUGUUGAUAAUAUGCGGGCACAUAAAAACUACUGUAAGGGUCUACUUACAGAACCUUAUAGGAAGAUGUUUUGGAUAAUGGCUACAUGCAAUUAGUGGUGUUAAGGAAGGGACCUAUUUUUGGGUUGAUUACAUUGUAACAUUGCAGUGCCUUUAAAUUAGUAAGCUGCAAUAUAGAGAUUAAUAAGGGAACGUUGUGUACUCUUCUGAACCAAAUGAUGUUGUAUUUCUUCUUAUUUGGAGGUUUCAAGUUUCUUGAUUGAGUUUCAUUUUGUUGUAGUCUUUAUCUAAAUUUGACUCUUAAAAACCUCGAGUAAUUUAGUGAAUGUUGUUGGAUAAUGCUUCAAUCAUAGUUGGUGUGUUGCCAUCUAUAAUUAACUCCAGAUGACUAGAAGACGGGAGGAACUAAAAGACAAUCAAGUAAAAUGUUGGUAAACAAAACUUAAUAGGUACAAAGGCAUUUUAGUUUUUAGGUUGUUCAUUUAGUUGAUGUCACAUGGAAUAUCAUGUCCACAUCCACAAACUAUGUUUGUUUGUAGAGAGUACCUGUGCCAUUUAUUAGAUUCUACCCAACUAUCAUGUGACAAUAACAAUAUAAAAGGUUGAUUUUUUUAAUAUAUAGCGUCCUCAGAUUUGUCCAAUGAUGCAACUCAAAUUAGAUGAUUUUUGGCGACUUGAAACUUCAAAUACGUCUGCUUGAGUACCAUGGGUGCCAGCAGCAUUAUCUAGGCCAGUUUCACAUCAAUUUUAAGAGUAGCUGGAUGAUGAUAAAUUAAACCAUAUCAUCAAGACUCCUGCUUCUGUGUAUUGUAGUUUUAUUGAUCCUGAUCUUCCAUUAGAAUUUUAAGACUCAUGCAUGCGAAUACAUCAGAACGUCCUUUAAUUGAUGAAUUCUUUACCUCUGUCUUGACGAGCAGUUUCACCAGGAAUCAAACUAAUGGUGCAUGGCCUGAAGAAUGUAUGGGGAUCAAUGCGUGCAGUAGUUUCCACAGCAUGUGAGUUUAUGGUACUAACAUCAAAAGGAGCCGCUGAUGAGAAUAUUGUAGAGCAAAGACUGCUCAAGGAGCUGUGCAAACAUGGCUUUUAAUAAAAUUGACUUGGAUAGGGAGUUUUCUUGGGCUAAAAGAUUAUGACCUGUAGCAGUCCAUGGAUGAGCUUUUUGGUUGUGUAUGAUGAAUAGAUUUUUGCCUUGAGAGCAGAGCUUCAGGUUCUCGUUAGCCUGUAACUCCUUGCUUCUUUUAUCACAUGCUUUAGUGAUCCUCGAUGCCUGCAAGAUUACUGAAACUAAUAUUUGAGAUUGGUAGCCCAAUUUUUUCUCUCUCCAGUGGGUAGUUCAUUUGGUACCCUAUGGACUCGGUAUCUUUCCUUGCUUAUCCCGUAGCAGCAGCGGAAAUUUUGGUAGGAGAAGCUUUAGAUUGACUUUGUUUUCUCCAGUUUGUGGUACAAAUAUCAUUAUCUGAUGUGGUGUCUCUUGAGAUUGAUGUGGCAGGUUCUAAAUCUUACCAGGUAUUAAAGGAUUGUGGAUGUUACUUUUUCUUCUUUUUGAUUCCGUUGAAAUCUUUUGGUAGGUUGUAACUCACAGACGGAGAUUGAGCCGCAGCAAAUUGACUUGAAGAGCAUCAUCAUGGCAGCAACUGGGCUUGGACUUGUUUGAGGGAAGGUCACUUGGACUGGUAUGCUACUUAGCCCAAUCCAAUUGUUUGGUUACCGCAAAGCUCACUGGUUCAACAGAGAUGCAUACUAUUUCACGAGGGAUUACCUUGUUUAACUUUUGCUCCUAAGCCAUACAACACCAACGCUAACAGCUGAAGAAGAAUAUUUGGGAGUCUCAAUUAGAUCUUACAGAUCGUGUUCUCCCCUUCUGCUGCUUAGGAGGAUGGCGACGAAGCUGAGGCCAGCGCAGCCGCCGGUGACGAGGUUGCCCUCGCGGACGAGGAUCUUGAGGGCGACGGCGCUGAUGUCGGCGGUGAUCCGCCGCCCCUCCAUCACCAGCGCCCGCCACGGCUUCCCGGCGAAGGCGAGCAGCACCAGGACGGUGCAGCACGUGACCAGCGUCGCUGGCACCGCCACCGGUAGCGCUGCCCCCACGGACAACAUCCCGAACAACUCUCCGUACUGAUUGUGUAAAUGUAAAGACAAAGUUUGAUUGAAGCUUAUUAACAUGUUCCCUGGGGGGAGGAUUUUCAGAGCAGUGAGAUUUCCUCGUGCAAUCGGAGAAAUCUUAUUUGCUAUCACAUACAGCACCGACGUAUACAACCUCGACGACCAUGAUGAUGAGGAGGACGAGGAGGAGGCGACGAUGUUGUACCAGGAAUGGAUGGCAAGGAGGAGGCCCCAGGAGCAAUGAAGGAGGAGGGUGUAGAAGAGGAGAAAGAGGUAGACCCAUGUCCGCCUCUUGUUCGUAACUCUGGUAUGUCCGCGGUCGCCCUUGGAUGCUUGUUUCUCAUGGCCAGUGCUGCAGUUGCUGUUGCAGAAGAAGUGGAUGUGUAGCAGAAGCAAAAGUAAGUCCAACUCUGCUUGUGUCUCUGAGUUUCCCACCUUAGUCAAGCCAGCUGAAUAGCCUACUCACUUUUUUUAAUUUUUAUUAUUGUUUUAUCAUUUUUUAGAUGAAUGAUAAUAUUUAUAUAUGAAAAGAUAUUUUAUCUCAUUAUUUUACUUAAUAUUUUAAUAUUUAUAUCGAUAUUGGACUAACGGGAGAUGCCUUGCUCGGAUAGAAUAUAUCUAAGGGGGGAUAUAUAUAACUGAUAAGGGUAAUAAUUGUAAUAAGACUCACGUGACAUCAGCUGCAUCAGGUGACGCAUCACGCCUCUGUUGACUUGAUGAGGCACCUGGUCAACGUGGAUCGGAACGCCUACCAAGGCGCAUUAACGCUCUGUUCAGGUUCGAUCCCUCACGCCACGCCAACGGCAACGUUAGACGCUACCAGAAGUACGGUCCCGCUCCCUGCGGGCCAGCACAUUAGACAACGGUAAUUAUCACUAUAAAAACCCUCGCACUCUGAAGGGAAAAAAAGGGGGGGAGGGAAGGGAGAAAUCCCCUAGGACCAUCCACUAACUUGAUCGUCAGAGGGAUCGGGUCGAGCUCCCCGACCCGACCUUUGUGUAGGUGCGAAGGCGGAGGUCGUCCACCAAAGGCGCAGGCGGGGGUUCCCUCCCGGUGAAAACAGCGACCUCGUCCCAAUCGGAACACCGUGAUCGGCCACCUUAGCAGUCGGGAGGAGCGUCCCAGGAAGAUCCCCGUCAUCCGGACCCGAACCAAACCGCGUCGGUCCCGAUGCCACGGCUUAAAGUUGUUCACACUAACACUAACAUUUCGAUGUUUGUAUUAUGUUGGGACAUUUUUUUUUCGGUGAGAUAGUGAGUUGAGUAUUUUUUAUCCGAUCAAAAAGUUAUUUGAUAUAUUUAUAUUAUUGGGAUCAAUAUAGUAUAGAUGGGUCUAAUUUCUCUUACAAAAAAGAAUACCAUGAUUUAAACAUUGGGACUGAAAAAAAAUCUUAUAAGAUGCAAAGUUCAAGCACUAUCUUGGGUGGUCAGGUUGGGAACUCAUUGGAAGCUCUAUUACCACCGAUUAUGUAAGGUUAAAUUAUUUAAUUAGAAAAUAUUUAUUUUGCAUGUCAUAUUGAUGCGAAACAUCAUUAUUUUCAAACUAAUUAUCUCCUAUUUAUAUCGAAUCCAGAUUAAUUAUCCAUUGAAUUGUACCUAAUUUAUAAGGAUUCGCUGAAGGUAAAAUAAGCUUGAGAUAAUAUAUGAGUUCCACCCUUAAAAGAGAUGAUGAUUGAGCAAUUAGUUUAUCCCUCUAACUAUGGAGUAGGUUGGGAAGUCGAUGAAGCUCGAAAGAGAGGAUCCUGAGCAAGCAAUCAACCAACCUCAGUGGUUCUUCACUGAAAGGAGGAAGCAACGUAAGCAACAUCUAUGGAUGAGAGCAUUUUUCAUAUUUUUAAUGGUGGAGAAUCCCCGUUGAUUUGAGUUGAAAGUGUCAACUAGAAAUAAUCAAUAGAUCAUGGUCGCUAAUAUCAAGUUAUCUCCGAUAACAUCAAAAUCUCACUUCAAUAAUAUCUUCCAUUGUAAGAAUCCAACCCACAACAAUUAAAUACAAGAAAUGUGAUAGGGAAAGAGAUCAACUUCAAAAUCUCUAUGAGAAUGAUCGUUAGAUUUAAUAUUAUACUGGAUAGUAAUUGUAAUACCCCAAUUAGAAGUGAUAUGGUGAUAAUUGUCCAUCAGGACUUCUUUUAUAUUCUCAUAAAACUUUUCAUUAACUCAAGCAAAGUUCUUCAUGAUGUAUCACAUGUUAUGAAUAGUAUAUAUAAAUAGGGGAUCGAUACAUGAACCACCAUAUAUUGGGAGGUACAUAUUACAUGACCCUAUAUUAGACAAUACAGGAUCUAUACCAAUUGGUAUUGAUUGAAAUCCAAUCAUUAUAAAUUUGUGCUGACAAUUAUAUUGGGAGGUUACAAUUGCUUUAUUUUAAAUGAUCAAUUUGAUUGUUUGAACUAUAGAGAAGGGGUUUUAAACCCUUUCUUCUCUCCUUUUUCUACCAAUUUCACUCAAUCUUUUCAACUCUUUCUCACUUAUAUCUUUUUCUCAUUGUCAUGUUUUCACUCUCUUAAACUCAUCAUAACUAUAAUUCAUGGAUUAGAACAAAUGUGAGAGGCUAAUUUAGAAGGAUUACAAGAAGAAUAUUUUGAUCGAGAGGUAUAUAUUAUCAUUCUAGAUUUUUAUUUAUAUAUGAGAUGAUUAAGCCUAUUCUAUGUUUAUUUAUACAAUUUGAUGGUGAUGUAUCUAGAGGAGCAAUCUUUUACACUUGUCAUCUAGAUUCAGGCUCGAUAAUGUACUAGUUAAAUUUACACUAUGCCAUAAUGGGGGUUGAGGAGGAGGAUGCGACAUGAUGACAUUUACUGAUGAGAGCUUCUUUCAUAUUCUUAAUAGUGGAGAAUCUCUCGUUGACUUGAGUUUAAAAUGUCAACAAUAAAGACUCCGCUAAUAUCAAGUUAUCUCUAAUAACAUCAAAAUCUCACUUCAAUAAUAUGUAAAAAUCCAACCCAAGACAAUCGAAUAUAAGAAAUGAGAUUGGAAGGAGUUUGACUUCAAAAUCUCUAUAGAAAUGAUGUUAGAUUUAAUACUAAACUAGAUAGUAAUUGUAACACCCCAAUUGGAAACAAUGUGGCAACAAUCAUUGGCAAGGGCUUCUUUCAUAUUCUUAAGGUGGAGAACCUCCUAUUAAAUCAAGUAAGAUUCAUUGUACCAUGAUAUACCAUCUGAGACAAAUGAUACAUAUCAUUCUGACAAGGGAUUAGCAUGCGAACAGUCAUAUAUCGGGUGGUACACAUUACAUGAUUCUAUAUCGGAUGAUACGUGAUCUAUACCGAUCGAUAACGAUUGAAAUUUAAUUAUUACUGACUUGUACCAAUCGGUAACAAUUGAAUUUUGAUCGUUAUCAAUCAAGAGCUAAGAUUGUCUUAUUUUAAAUGAUCAAUUUGACUAUUUAAACUAUAAAAAAUAUUUUUAUAUCCUUUCCUCUCCCCACUCUUUCAACCCAUUUCACUCGAUCUUUUUAACUUUUUCAAACUCUUCUCACUCACAUCUUUUAUCUCAUUCUUAUAUUUUUACUUUCUUAAACUCAACAAAGCUAUAAUUAUAUAUUAAAUCAAAUAUAAGAUGUUAAUUUGAGAGGAUUAAAAAGAAUAACACUUUAAUUAAGAUAUAUAUAUAUAUAUAUUUCUUUUUAAAUUUUAUAUUUAUAUAUAAGAUAAUUAAGCUUAUUCUAUGUGGUCAUGUCUAUACAAUUUUAUACUUGUCACCCAAGAUUUAGAUCAUGAAACUCGACGAAAUACUAGUUAAGUUUAUACACGGGAGGGAAGGGAAAAACAAUGGAUGAUUUUGAAUAGAUGUGAUAGAGUAUACAUGACAUAGAUAUAGAUCAAACCUCGUCAUAUUCACAACCAUUGUAUUGUGAAGAAUCUUAAGACUAAUAGUAGUAUGAUGAUAGUUGAUUAUUCUUUUCCAAGUAGUAGUAUGAUGAUCAAUCUUAUGAUAUAGAGCAACAGAUCAGUGACGAAAGUAAAAGUUUAAACAUUCAUAAUGCUCCAUACUAAUAUAUGUCAUAAUUGUCCUUGCCUCAGGAGCCAUCUACGUGGUUCAUGACGAUCAACUUAUAACCAUCACAACAUUGAUGUACCAUUAACAUACGAUGUAUGUAACACCCUACUUCUACCCUACAUGUAUAACUAAAAUAUGAUGUCAUAUUUUAAAUUUUUAUUACUGCUAUCAAUAGGAGAGUAGUGAAAGUAGAUAAUCUUAAAAUUAAAACAUGCUAACUUACUUAACAAAAUGAUAGGAUUUCUCCUAUAUAUAGUAUUUUGGACAUUUAUACAUAAUUAUAGCCUCUAACUAAGAGAAAAACAUAAAUAUAACAAGUCCAAAAUUUAUACACACAAAACACCUACAGAACAUCAUGCAUAUCUAAGCUGGUAUAGGCUUGCAUAUACUCACUGCUCUACCCAAUCACUUGGGUGGGGUAUUAGUAAUGAGUACACUCAAUAAGUAUAAGCCCUUAUAGCUUUAUUUAGGUAGCAUAUAUCAUAUCAUAUAUGUAAUAUUUUAAAAUUAUUGGCGUAAGACAUUUAAUGGAAAACUCCCUUAUCAUAUAACUUCUUUAGUAAACAUAAUCCCACAACAUAGCAUAUAUAAAAUAAAGAGUUAAAGUUCUACUUCAAAAUAAUUCAAAAUGCUUAUAUGCAAAUAUAGGAAGUAUAAUAAAUUCAUUGACUUCUAUGCCCUACAUCAUAAUAUAUAUUUGCAUUCCCAUAUCAUAUGUUAUUAUAAUAUAUACGUGCACUCUCACACUACACGUCAUAAUAUUUACAUACACUCCCACAUUAUACAUCAUAGCAUAUACGUGCAUUACAUAUCAUAAUAUAUUCGUGUACUCACGUACCAUACAUCAUAGAAAAUAUAUACACUCUCAUACCAUAUGUCAUCAUAUAUGUAUACGUAUAUGAUAUUUUUAUCAUAAUUCAUAUAUUUUUAGACUUACAAAAUAUAUACAUUCAUAUUUAACUAAUGCUUUGCUCAUGACAAUCCUAUCAUUCGAAAUAUAAUUUUUAAAUUGUAUUAUACAUAUGACACCAUUAUUUUAUAGUAAAUUAAACUUAUACUUAAUUAAACUUAAAAAUAAAGAUAUUAAUAAAAAAUCAAGUUCUUUAAUAGUCGAAUGUAUUAGGGAGUGAUACUCCUUGGAGCAAAAGGUCAUGAGAUGUUUUAAUUAAUAAUCCUACCUCUUGAAUUAUUGAUUUAUAAUAAUUUAUAAUAAUAAUUCAUAAAAAAAAAAUUGAUAAAAAUCUCUUAUAAAAUAAAUUAUACUCAUCCUAAUAAUAUAUGAAGUUAUUCCUUCUCCAUGGUAGCUAAAAUUCAAAUUGAAUUAGUGUCGAAAGAUUAGAGAUCCAUGGCAAAGUAUGAUGUCGUAAUUACAUAUUAAUUGCGUCAUACAAAAAGGUGAAACAUCGUUUGUGCGUUCUUAUAUUUGCUUCCAUGUAAAAUGCUUUAAUUACAUUAAAUUAUAUGUGACAUUGACACAUAAACACACAGUUUUUAUUUAUUUUAAGAAAAAGAUAAAGUACAAAGUGACAAGUAAUUAUAUGCGACAUUGGCACAUAAACACACAACAGAGAGAGAGAGAGAGAGAGAGAGAGAGAGAGAGGAUAUAUAUAUAUAUAUAUAUANNNNNNNNNNNNNNNNNNNNGAGAGAGAGAGAGAGAGAGAGAGAGAGAGAGAGAGGAUAUAUAUAUAUAUAUAUAUAUAUAAGGCGGAGAUUCUUCGUGUCAUGUAUUAAGCUUCGGUGACAUCUCGAAUCAUGCGAUGGCACUGUGAUGGAGGUCGUUGUAGUAGACGACGUAGACGUCGUAGGCGACGACGAGCUUCGCGACAGAGGACGUCACCGUCUCGGUCACCAGCUUCCCCCAUGCGUACUGGAACACCCCCGUCCCUCCCACGAUGGCCCGCUCCGAGUUCCCGGACGCGUCCAGUCUCCCGAUCACCGUGAGAGUGCUGUUGACGAACUUCCCCGCCGUGAACACCAGCACCAGCGGUACCAGCAUCACCUCCUCCUGCAUUGAUACGUGGAAGCCCGCGCCCUGCACCCUUCCGAGGAAGGUGGAGCUUUCGUCGGGGCCGACCCUCAGCACCGUGUCGUAGAUCUCGAUGUUCCCGAAGGUGUAGGGGAGGCUCAUGUUCACCACGGUGACGGUGGUGUUGUCGGGACCGAUAAAGGUCUCGUGGAAGUAGACGCGGAAGUGGAUUCUCUUCUGGAUGCCGAGUUCGAACUCGGAGGUGACCGGGAAGGCCGUGGCAGCAGCCAGGAGGAGGAAGAAGACGAGGAGGUGGUGGAAAAGAGAGGAGCUGUGUGGGGACGACGCCAUGACUAGGGUGGUGGAUGGACAAGGAACGUGAAGUGAGAAGUGAGAUGAGCACAACAAUAAGAGGGAAAGUGUCUUUAUAGAGCAUUGGCUUAUGGCUCUGUCAUCAUCAUACAUAUCAUAUUUAUCACAGGUAAGUAUGAUGUACACAUCAUCAUAUUAAUAUUUAAGAGAUUAAAAUUAAAUAAUAUUUUGAAUCCUUAAUAUUCGAUAAAUAAGUCUUUUAGAUGUAAGAAUAUCUCAAAUAAAUUUUUGAAUAAUCAACCUUUGAUAAGUGGAUCAUCAUUAUAUUUAUACACGGAAAUGAAUCAUUUACAAUUAAUUAGACUUUGACAUGUUAAACUCAAUCAAUUCAUGAACUAUUAUUGAAAAUAUUUAUGGGUAUACGAUUAGAAAAAUAAGCUUAUAUGACUAAGGAUUGAAAGAAUCAGAUAACAUAAUAGUUUAAGUCUUUGGAUUGAAUUAAUAUCUUACUUGAUAUAUAUAUUAACUCUGAUCAAUUUGAUUCAAACUCAUCAAUAGUCAUACAACUAUGACAUGAACAAGCUCUAAAUUGAAGAUUUAUCGGGCAAGCUUAUUGAACUCAUCCAAGAGUCUUAUGGGUGCUAUUCAAAACAAAAUUGGACAAUCGUAUCCUCAUUGAACUUGGAAGAAAUCGACUCGAGCCACGUUAAUUUAGAUAUUGAGGUUGGAUUCCCCUAGUUGGACAUCUUAGUCGAACCUCAAAGUCAAAAGUCAUUCCAUCUUCCAACUAGAGCAACAAGAAUUCGGAAAAAAAUAAUGAACCAAAUCGAGUCAAGUUCGCCGGAUCUAAGUUCGACCGAAUGGUGUAUUUGGAGUCCAUCCUUCCAAUGCGGGGGGAAGAAGAUGGCAUAAAAUGCAAUAAGCGAUGCAUAAUAACACCGGUGGACGCCCGGUGAUUACAGCAUACGGGCUCUCGAUCGGUAGGUGCCUCGCUCUCCGCCUUCAGCAAGCAACGUAGACGUACAGCGACGGCUCUCGGUCGGUAGGUGCCUCGAAUGCAGGUGUCGCUGGGGAGAUGGGUGAUGGAGGUCCAAAAGAUGAGGCCAUUGACAUGAUCGAUGUCGACUGUAAUCUUCUCAUCUUAGGACAAGAUCUUCCACCUCACGGUCUCGUACGUUGCAUGGUGGGUGAACGAGGAGGAAGCCAUCGAUCGGGCGUUGGUUUCCUCCGUACACUUAUCUUUUCUCCAUGCUGUAGCUGUCGGUGAUCACAUUUGUUGCAUGUGAUACACGUUUUCUUUUUUUUUUUUCACCUUUGUCGUGUACUCUAAUUCUGAAAGAACCAUCACUUUCUGAUCACUGUACAUGACUGUGAUUCUUGCACAGUCAUUGAUCUAUUUCUUCUAAUAAUUGACUAUGAUUCUUGCACAAGAGAACUCGUAAAGCAUGAAAAUUUGAUAUUAUUAAUUAAUUUUAAUAAUAAUUUUAUUUUUAAAGUAAACAAAUAAAUUAAAAGAAAAUGGAGAAUUGCAUAUUCUCCACUCUGUUGAUACCCCUAUUUACUUGAGAGGAGACCAAUGUAGUUUCUACAAUCAAGUCAAACUAGAGUCUAAAUCAAAACUAUGUAGACCUCCCUUCCAUCCCUCUAGCUAGGUCUCAUUCGGUGCCAACCGACACCAUCGAAACUUUAGCUCAGUUUGCUUAAAUGUUCAGCUAGUAAACAUACAAACAUAUCACUUUCCAUCAAUAUAAAAGUACAUAUAUAUAUUACAAUAAUAUGUGAUAUGAUAGUACACACAUAUGUUAUGAUAUAAGGCGUAGAAGAUCAUACAUUUUUUAGGCUUCCUACAUGUGCAUAUAAGUAUUUGAAUUAUUUCGAUAUAAAAUUUUACCAUCUUAUUGUAUAUAUAAUGUGUUGUAGGAUUAUUUAUACAUGCUAAAGAAUUUAUAGGAUGAUGUGUCUAUCAUUAAAUACUUUAUGUUAAGGAUUUUAAAAUAUUAUAUACAUGAAAUGAUGUGCUCACAUAAAUAAAACAAUAAAGACUUAUAUUUACUGAGUGAUUAAUCACCGUAGAUCAUAUUUUACAGAUAAAAAUAUUAGUAUCCCACUCAAGUGAUUGUAUAGGGAAGUAAGCACAUGUAAGCCCAUGCUAGCAUAGAUAUGAACGAUGAUUUUUCAACAUUUUAUGUAUAUAAAUUUUGGACAUAUUAUAUUUAUGUUUUUAUUUGGUUAAAUGAUAUAAUCAUGUAUUUAAAACAUUAUGGAUAGGGGAAACCCUAUUAUUUUGUUUAGUAAGUUAGCAUGUUUUAAUUUUAGGAUUGUCAACUUUCCAUUGUAGUCAUAUUGAUAUCAGUAAUUAAAAUUUAAAAUGUAACAUCCUAUAUUAAUUAUACAUGUAAGAUAUGGAAGAAACUAGAAGUAGAGUAUUACAUAUUCAAUGUUCUUGAUAUCGAAUCCAUCUAUGAUAGACUCGGUGAAAGGCUACAGUUACAUCCAAGUCAUCCUUUAAAGAAUCAAAAUAUAUAUUAACAAUUAUGAAAUGUGAAAGAUUUUUUAACUAAUAAAUUAACUAGAAAAAUUGAAUGAACGAAUGAAUGCCAUGUUUAUGGGAGGAAUAGGUACAUGUCAUUUUGUCAAGGCACGUGAUUUAUUUGGAAUUUAAUGUAACUUAUUCGCAUUAUGUUGAUUAUAGUUUGCGACAAAUGUAAAGAUUCCAUAUCAAAAAAUAAAUUCCGAUGUGCAUGUGUUAGAUCCCUUAUGAAACUUAAUUAUUUAUAGAGUGACUUUAACAUAUAGUAAAUAAGUUUGUAUCUAUGUAACUUGGAUGAUCAUAUUGUGAAAUAUACAAAUAAUAUCUCAAGUUAUUCCUUCUCCGUAGUAGCUAAAUUUCAACUACAUUUGGUGUCGAAAGAUUAGAGAUCCAUGACAAAGUAUGAUGUUGUAAUUACAUAUUAAUUGCGUGAUAGAAAAAGGUGAAACAUCGUUUGUGUGUUCUCAUAUUGCUUCCUUGUCCGAUAAUUUAAUCGCAUUAAAUUAUAAGCGACAUUGAUAGGUUGAUGUUCACAAAAACACACAACACUAACAUUAUGACCCAUCGACCAUUUUGUACCCACUUGAUUCAGUUUUUAGAAUUAUAUUUGUCUGUUUCCAAAAAAAAAUAUUUCUUUAUGUAGUACGAAGUAUUUUUUUGAAUUAUAGUAUAUUAUAGUGAAAUUUUUGACAGAUAAGCUCACUCUACAGGAGAUGAGAUUUUUACCUCAUAACACUCAUCGCUUAAUUCUUUCCAAGUAAUUAGAUCCUUUUCAUCAAAGCAUUCAUAAUCUUUUAUAUAUAUAUAUAUAUAUUAUUGAAUUGAGCUGUACAAUAUUAUUUUAGUUGAUCUUAUUAACAACUUUAUAGUGUGGUCCGAUGCAUAAUACUGCUACUAAUCCUAAAUAGGAGAAGAAUAAAUUUACUAUAGUCAUAUAUACCUACAGCUAUGAAAAAUAAAGCAUGUCACCGUACUGUGCUGCAAAAUAUCGAGGUUUGUAAAAGCUUUUCUUUCUCAAUAAUAAGAAGCUUUUCUUUAUUUUAAGAUAAAGAUGGAAGUACAAAGUGACACGUAGAAUAGCAUUUAUUUCAGCCUUUUGUUUUGUCCUUAUUCCAACCGCUGUCUUCAUGGAGUGACACCAUAGCCGGAGUUCUUUUUGUCGUGUAUUAAGCGUCGGUGACGGCAAGGUCUCGCAAUCAUGGGCUGGCACUGCGACCGACGUCGGUGUAGUAGAUGACGUAGACGUCGAAGGCGGCGACGAGGCCCUCGACGGAGGACGUCACCAGCUCGCUCGCCAGCUUUCCCCAUGCGUACUGGAACACCCCCGUUCCACCCACGAUGGCCCGCUCCGCUUUCCCGGACGCGUCCAGUCUACCGAUCGCCGUGAGUGUGCUGUCGGCGAACUCCCCCGCCGUGAACACCAGUACCAGCGGUAUCAGAGACGCCUCCUCCUGCUGCGACAUGUGGAAGCCCGCGCCCUGCGCCCUUCCGACGACCGUCGAGCUAGCGUCGGAGCCGACCCUCAGCACGGCGUCGAAGAUGUCGAUGUCCCCGAAGGUGUAGGGGAGGCUCAUGUUCACCACGGUGACGGUGGUGUUGUCGGGGCCGAGAAAGGUCUCGUGGAAGUAGACGCGGAAGUGGAUUCUCUUCUGGAUGCCGAGUUCGAACUCGGAGGUGACGGGGAAGGCCGUGGCAGCAGCGAAGAGGAGGAAGAAGACGAGGAGGUGGUGGAUAGGAGAGGAGCUGUGUGGGGACGAAGCCAUGACUGGGGUGGUGGAUGGACAAGGAACGUGUUAUACUUGGCAAAGAUUGACAAGUGAGAGGAGCACAAGGCUGGAGGAGGGAGAGCGUAUUUAUAGAGUAUUGGCUAUGUCAUCGUCGUGCAUAUAUCAUAUCUAUCAUAUUAGACGAUAUUUUAGACUCUCUUAAAAAGGUAAGUAUGUAAGCAUCAUCAUAAUAAUAUUUUAGAGAUUAACAUUAGAAAGGAUUUCAAAUCCUCAAUUCAAAGUUGAGUCUUUUAGAUGUAAGAAUACCUCAAACAAAAUUUUUGAAUCAUCAAACAAUAAGUGAAUUUUCAUCAUGUUCAAAGAUUAAAAUGAAUCAUAUACAAUUAAUGAGACUUAGCAUGAUAAAUUUAAGUAAUUAUUAUUGAAAAUAUUUAUGCAUGUGAGAUAAAAAAAGAUGAGCGAAAAGUAAUAUAUGACUAAAGAUUGAAGGAAUCAGAGUACAGAAAGUCGGUUUGACAAGUAACACCACGUUUAGCCUUCCUCUUGAACGCCGGUCUCGUUCCAAAAUCGCCGGACGGACCACUUCGCUCUCCGCCGACAACACGCAACGUGUAGCUUCGCUGGGAUACGGGUGAUGCAGGUCAAAGAAGAUGAAGCCAUCGACAUGAACGAUGUGGACUGUAAUCGUCUCCAUCCUCGUCUUCUCAUCUUAGGACUAUAUCUUCCACCACACCGAAUCAUUCGUUGUAUGGUAGGUGAACAAGGAGGAAAGCCAUCAUCCAUGGGACUGCUUUUGGUUGGUUAAUCCUCACACUAGCUUCUCUCGAUGCUGUACCUGAUGGUGAGGCUUCUUGUGCACGUUUUGUUUCCAAAAAAUCUGUCUAUUUUGUUGAGAAAAUAUUUUCAUCUUAAUCAGUAUAAAUAGGGGGAAAAUAGCUUCAAUGUAAAACAGUUUUUUCAAUAAUUCUUCUUGUCUUCUAUUCUUUCCAACAUGAUAUCAGAGCAAGUGAGAAGAGCGAGACUCCAUGGCCAUCGAAGCCUGUUAUUCACCACAUCUCUUACCUUUGUAGAGCAGAGAAGGGGGUGAACUCUUUUCCAUCGGACUCGCUUCCCUGUCGGACUCCCCUCUCCGUCCGCUGAUACCCCAGUCGCUGUCGUGACCACACCCGGCAUCGCAAUCAUGUGCGACCACAACAACGAGGGCCUGUUUUGGUGCGACUGGCUACUCGCCCUCGGCAGUGGAUCCCUCUCCAACCCUGUCCGCUCCUUCCCUCUUCUCCUCCAUGCGGCUUUCUUCUUCAUCGGCGUCGCCUGCACCGACCCUAAGCUCGGGUUAUCUACCGCCAUAUCAUCAUCUUCAUCAGGUUGUGAUCUAUAUCAAUCGCAGCCUGCUGCCUCGGUGUCAACUGUCGAUCCUUAGCUCCUACUAAGAGCUAAUCGCUACAGCUUCCUCCUACUGCAGCUUCCUCAUGUUGCAGCAUCGUUGUAGCUUCCUCCUCUGUUGCAGCAUCGUUGCGGCUUCCUCCUCUGUUGUAGUUUCUGCUGUAGCUUUCUCCUAUGCUGGAGCAUUGCUGCAACUACCUCCUUUGCUCCGACUUCCUCCUUUAUUACAUCUAUGCUGCAGCUACCUCUUCUACUAUAGCUUCCUCCUCUAUUGUAGCAUUACUACAGCAUCGCUGCAGCUUUCUCCUAUACUGUAGCUUCCUCCUCUUCUGUAGAAUCACUGCAGAUUCCUCCUCUGCUAUAGCAUCGUUGCAGCUACCUCCUCUUCUGCAUCUACCUCCUCUACUGUAGCAUGAUAGCAGAUAAGAUUUCUCUAACUAUAUGAGAAAAUCUAGAGUUGAGAGAAAUCCUCCCUCUUAAUCUGUAUAAAUAGGGAGAGAAUACCUUCAAUGUAAAAUAGUUUCUUCAAUAAUUCUUCUUGUCUUCUAUUCUUCCCAACAGAUAAAAAGGGAUGUGGACGAGGCCAUCAAAAGGAACACACGUCAUUUAUGAUUACUGCUCGCUGCUCUUUGUUACUCGCCGAUGUCCUCAUCCAUCAGUAUGAACUGGAUGAGAGAAUAAUAUUCAAAAUACUCAGUUAAUAUUUUUCUUACUAACAGGAGUUUCUAUAGCUCAUGAUUCAUAACUUUAUUUUUGUCCCUUGUAUAAGAGCUGAUUUAAGUUUCUGUAUAGUUUUAUCAAUCGUGUUUUUUAUGCUAGUUUUACUUAUGACGCUGAAUGGCUUAUCUUAAUUACUAAUUGAGCAUUCAUCUCAUUAAGCAUUUAAUUAGAUGACACAGGGCACAUGCUCACGGUCACUUAUGGCUCCUCUUGCCAUCCUUCACGUGCAUGAUAUAUAUAUAUAUAUAUAUNNNNNNNNNNNNNNNNNNNNNNNNNNNNNNNNNNNNNNNNNNNNNNNNNNNNNNNNNNNNNNNNNNNNNNNNNNNNNNNNNNNNNNNNNNNNNNNNNNNNNNNNNNNNNNNNNNNNNNNNNNNNNNNNNNNNNNNNNNNNNNNNNNNNNNNNNNNNNNNNNNNNNNNNNNNNNNNNNNNNNNNNNNNNNNNNNNNNNNNNNNNNNNNNNNNNNNNNNNNNNNNNNNNNNNNNNNNNNNNNNNNNNNNNNNNNNNNNNNNNNNNNNNNNNNNNNUUGGACGUCACCAGUUUGCUCACCAUGUUCCCCCACGCGAACUGGAACACCCCAGUCCCUCCCACGAUGGCCCGGUCCGCCUUCCCGGAGGUGUCCAUCCUCCCUAUCAACGUGAGCGUGCUGUCGCAGAAGUCCCCGGCCGUGAACACCAGCACCAGCGGUAUCAGCGACGACUCGUCCCGCUGCGACGCGUGGAAGCUCACGCCCUGCGCCCUCCCGACUUCAGUCGAACGCUUGGAGGGGCCGGUCCUCAGCACGGCGUCGAAGAUGUCGACGUCCCCGAAGGUGUUGGGGAGGCUCAUGUUCACCACGGUGACGGUGGUGUUGUCGGGGCCGAGAAAGGUCUCGUGGAAGUAGACGCGGAAGUGGAUUCUGCUCUGCCGGCCGAGUUCGAACUCGGAGGUUACCGGGAAGGCUGUGGCAGCAGCCAGGAGGAGGAAGAAGACAAGGAGGAAGUAGAGAUGAGAGGAGCUGUGUGGGGAUGAAGCCAUGGCUAGGAUGACCGAAGGAUCGAAUUGAGGUGGGUACAACGCUGGAUCAGGAACAUGUAUUUAUAGAGUAAUGUCUGUGCCAUGCGUCGUCAACAAAAGCCAACUUCCAACCAAAUCUCAUUAUCAUGUCUACAUAAAAAACCCAAACGAAUAUUACUCUUGCAGGCGAAGGUCUCAGCGUAGGGAAGAAGAUAGCAUAUGGUAACACGAUGUACACACCAUAUAGUCUUCUCCAUAUAUAUAUAUAUAUAUAUAUAUAUAUAUAUAUGAUGUCGAGCAAUGGAGAUGGGUAACUGAGAGAUGGAGGGAUGAUAGUUGCAAGCAAUGGGCGAUGAGGAUAGUGUUGCGUCUUCUGCAAGUGCCAACUGGCCACCUGUAGCUCGUCAAUUUGCUUGUUAAUUAACGAACCACAUUGGCAACGCUAUCUUUCUUAAUGUGUUUCACCACAGAUGUACGCGGUUGGCUGAUGGCUGUCGCUCCCGUUUGUUCGCAUCUUCGGUUGUUGACAUGUGGAAAUGAAGUGUCGGUUCCCAUGCGUGAUCGGUACCUCACCACUCCACUUCAAGUCGCGACGUAAUUAAUGACCGACGGUGCGAUGCAAAACCUUCACUCGCCAAUCAAGUCAUUCGUGACUCAUGUGGGGCCAUUAACCAUCUUUUUGCUCUACAGUAAUCAAAGAAAAGCUCACAUGAUGUGUUCUCAUAUCAGCAUACAAAUGAAUUUUAUGUGACUUUUAAUAUACAUACAUAUUCUCUCCUGUCAAAACAUAUCCUAAACUCAUGUUUAUUUUUACCAUUAUAUAUAUCAUCACGAGACCAAAAGACAAAAAGGCAUGGGAUAACAUAACGCAUGUCAAUGUUUCCAUGUGAAUCACGCCUACAGAAUCCUUCACCUACCGAAGGUGUGGUUGGUUGUCAAAGUUCAUCAUUAUUAUGUAAGGGACAUUUUUCUCAGCAUAUCGUCAAAUGCCAGCGCAUGACGUGUUACCUUUCAAAGUGCAUAGUUGACCCAUUCCGCGUGUAAUGUCUCCUACUUAGUUGUCCCUUCACGCAAUGCAUUUCUUUAUCAGUAUACGUAUACUUCACCUGUUCAUAGCAUCCAUAUUAAAGCUUAUGUAGGUGCAGCGAAAUUAGUUAAUCGUCUAUAAAUAGGAUAGAAAUGGAUAACAAGUCUUAUUAAAGCCAUUAAUUAAGAAUUUAGAAUAGAGAUAGUAUCAUAUUUGAUUUCACAUUGAUCAGAGACUUAGAGAAUCAAUACCUAAUACCUAAUAAAGAGUCAAAUACAAAUUUUCGUUUUUUGACAGACAACUUUUGGGAUCCACCUUAGGAAAGGAAAGAUCAUGUGGUCCCGCUUAACAAUUUAUGAUUCAAAAGAGCUCGUGAUUGAAUAGUUUGUGAAAAUAAGAAUAUUAUUUGGAUAAAAAUAAAUAGUAAAAAAAGGAUCAAAUGAUAUAUGGACACGUGGCAUAUUCACCGAUCUUUAAAGCAGCCGAUCGCACGAGUAGUAAGAACUACCAAAGCUCUCUCCACGAUGAGAAAGGGCAACGAAGGCGGGGGAGUGACGAUGUGAAAGAAUCAUAAAGACGAUUGUUAGCAACCCUUGUGGUCGAGGUGCCAGCGUGGUUCGAUCCAAUCCUAAAUGCGCUUGUCCACGUAGAUGCUCGAGUGAUGGAAGUGAGCAUUAUGUCGUGUUGAGUUUGAGCCUCGUCUAUCUCAAUAUAGUUUCUCUCUUGGUGAGUGGCCUGCUUAUUUAUCACCGGACACAGGUUAGGGUCGAGAGGAAGAUUUUUUGAUUUGACCCUUGCGAAAGUUAAAUUAGUGUUGGGUGAAGUAAGAGGGAGUUAAAUGCUCAAAGUUCUUCCCAUGAUGUCAAUUAUUGGGUUGACUUUUAUACAUGCGAACAAAGUUCUUCACUGCUUCAGUAUGAUAUUCGAUUUAUAGAUGAAAGGUUAUGUUUUUCUUCAGCUUCAUGUUGCUCAUGGUCCAAAGUGAACUUGCUAAAAGAAAAAACACUGUCAUGAUUAUGAUGGAAUAAUAUUUCAAACACUUAGAUUUUUAAUAUAAAAUUGUAUGUAUCUAAGAGCUGGUUGGAGAAUUGUAUAAGAUAUGUCUAUAGUUCAACGAGUUCUGAUAUUUUUGGAGUUUGUUGCAAUAGGAUUUUAUUCGUAAUAUUAAUAAACGAGAUCGAAUAAUUCUUUUUAUUUUAGCCUUAUUAUUUAUUCUGCAGACGUAAAGCAAGAUAAACAUUGUUAGCUCUUAUUUAAUUGCUGUAGCUUUCGUUAUCGUGUCUCGGAUCACGCGAUGGAAGUGAGACGGACGUCGUUAUGGUACAUGACGUAGACCACGAAGGCGACGACGAGUCCUGCGACAUCGGACGUCACCUGCUUGCUCACCACGUUCCCCGACGCGAACUGGAACACCCCCGUCCCUCCCACGAUGGCCUGGUCCGCCUUCCCGGACGCGUCCAUCCUUCCGAUCACCGUGAGCGUGCUGUCGCAGAAGUUUCCCGCCGUGAACACCAGCACCAGCGGUAUCAGCGACGACUCGUCCCGCUGCGACACGUGGAAGCUCACGCCCUGCGCCCUUCCGACUUCAGUCGACCACUUGGAGGGGCCGAUCCUCAGCACGGCGUCGAAGAUGUCGACGUCCCCGAAGGUGUAGGGGAGGCUCAUGUUCACCACGGUGACGGUGGUGUUGUCGGGCCCGAGAAAGGUCUCAUGGAAGUAGACGCGGAAGUGGAUUCUCUUCUGGAUGCCGAGUUCGAACUCGGAGGUGACGGGUAAGGCCGUGGCAGCCGCAAGGAGGGGGAAGAGGACGAGGAGUAAGUAGAGAUGAGAGGAGCUGUGUGGGGAUGAAGC
RNAcentral lists this long non-coding RNA (20870 nucleotides) under Musa acuminata (dwarf banana). RNAcentral's name for it is "long non-coding RNA (MACU_LNC006073)". The record is from RNAcentral. Lineage: Eukaryota; Viridiplantae; Streptophyta; Magnoliopsida; Zingiberales; Musaceae.